This 723-nucleotide ribosomal RNA is filed under the name Triticum aestivum (bread wheat). RNAcentral's name for it is "partial small subunit ribosomal RNA". The record is from RNAcentral. Lineage: Eukaryota; Viridiplantae; Streptophyta; Magnoliopsida; Poales; Poaceae.
AUGGACCAUUCCAUCCCCUUUUCCCGUGCAUAUGCAUCGGACUCGGAUGACGAUGGUCCCGAUGAACAAGUUGAUGCGGAGGGGUUCACGGUGAAGGAGGCCGAAGCUUUCGAGAAGGUAUUUGGUCGGGAUCAUCGGACUACAUUGUUCAAGGAUGUUAGUCUCGCGGAUGAAGCCGUGGUAGAUGGUGGCCAAUGUGUACCUCUUGGGGUUAGGCCAAGCUCUCACCGUGAUUUGGUAGACGACAAGAACCGGAUUGCUAAAGGUUCUAAGUUCGACAGCUUGUUGGAUUUGAAGAUGUGGCUCGACAACUACUCGGUUACGCAUUAUCGUCCACACAAGGUGGUGCACUCGGACGUCAAUGUGCGCUACACGGUUGCAUGUGCAUGUGAAGAUGAAAAGGAGGUCCAACUUGGACUUACAAGAGGCCGUGGUGGUGGUAGAGGUCGUGGAAAGGAGGUCCAACAAGGAGUGGCAAGACGCCGUGGCGGUUGUCCGUGGAUUGUGCGUGCAAGACCAUGGAAAGGAGGUCCUACUUGGCAUGUAGUGAGUUGUGUGCCAACUCACAUGUGCCAAGGCAAAAGGGUGGAUGGCAAGAUUGUGUCCGAAAACCACAAACAACUCACGUCCGAGUUCAUCGCUUACAGGCUCUCCAACUCAAUAUCCACACUUCCAACAAUGAGCGUCCAACAUGUGCUGGAUAAGUCACAGUGCAGCGCCUAG